This 1642-nucleotide long non-coding RNA is filed under the name Homo sapiens (human). RNAcentral's name for it is "LYPLAL1 divergent transcript (LYPLAL1-DT)". The record is from RNAcentral. Lineage: Eukaryota; Metazoa; Chordata; Mammalia; Primates; Hominidae.
AUGCGCAGCGCUGCUGGCCCGCUCUCUGAGGAGCUUUCAAUACUUUGGGGUCAAGUUUGAGGCAGUUGUAACUGUACUGAGUUUAGUUUUGCUAAUAAUGGUAUUCUACGUGUGUCAGCCUCGUGUGGACUUCUGUAAUGACUAAUGGAUAUGUUUAUAUCCUGAGCAUUUGCUGUAGGAAUUUUAAAUGCAAUCCCAAAACUCAAGAUUACCUUAUUUGGAGAAAUAUUCGUGUUACUAUGUUUAAAAUUUAAUAGAACCAUAUUUUACCUUUCACUUUGGGACUCGCACAGGAUGUUUGCAGCUCUUGAUAUACAGGAACUAGAACGUGUCUUUUAAGAGCAUGCGGUUUUAUAAUUACGUGGAAGUAUGCUACGCAAGGGAAAAAAGCCUCUUGCUAGUGUUAAGGGUCUUCAUAAACAGAAACCGCAAGGAACCUGGGAUCUGACAGCUGUUGGAGGAAUGCCUGUGAGGAAGGAGGAGGAACAGAAGAAUGCUUUGAUGUCUUAAAUGGUACAUCCAAACUUAAGUGAAAUAGAGCUGUGAGGACAUUUUGGGGAGAAGUGACCUAGAUAAGCACUGACUGUUGCAUUCAUCUCUCUUCUUGCUGAUUGUGAUGAUUUCCUGUGCCAUAGCCAUUCAAAGUCUGCCAAAAAAGGCCUUGCCUCCUGGAUGGCAUUUUUGAACCCACCCUGGGCCAGAGGGGAGCCCACUUCUUUGAAGACAGAAACACAGGACUGGCAACAUUUACCAUAAGCUGACUGAGCAGCCAUUGGGCCUUGAGUGAACAUUGGUGGUAGCCAGGCAGUACUUGUCUCAGUACUUGCCUCAGGCCUGGGGUGUCGGUGACCACAGGGAGAGCAUCCAUCUGCUUGAGGAAAGGAGAACAAAGAAAAUAAAGGGCUUAAUCUUGCACUUGAUUGCCAGCUCAGCCAUAGUAGAAUACAGCACCAAGUAAAUUCCUAAGGAUCCUGAUUCCAGGUCCUGGCUCCCAGAUGACAUUUUAGGACUUGUCUUGGGCUUAGGGGGAGCUCGUCAUACUGAAGGGAAAAACACAAGCCUGGCUGGAUUUGCCACCAGCUGAAUAAAGAGUGCUUGGGCCUUGAGUGAACAUUGGCAAUAGCCAAGGAGUGGUCACCAUGGACCUUAGGCAAGAAACCCGGUGCCGUGCUGGCUUUGGAUCUGACCCAGCAUAAUCUCACUGGUAUUUUACUUCUUGUCCAUUUACUUUUUAGUUUAUCAUACACACCAUGUUUACUAGUACUAAAACUGUCUUAAAAUAUUGCAAUUUUGACCCUUUUUCUAAUUGACCUUUAUGUUUUUACAAGCACAUUUUAUUACAUAUGAAUGAGACUUUACUAUGUUAUAUGUAACUCUUAAUUCUGUAAAUAAUAGAUUGCUUAUCUGAAAUAUAGCUGAUAUUUGUUUCUUAAUUAUUUGGCUAUUCCCUAUAUGUUAUACUCUACUAAAGAUCAUGGGAUUUAGAUUCAGAAAACUUACUUCCUAGCUCUUAUUAUUUCUGUGAUCUUGCAAAAGAAAACAAAAAUGAACCAUUGUUUUUUUAUCUGUAACAGGAAAUGUACUUCACAGGAUUGUAAUGAGAAUUAAAUUAGAUAAUAUACAUGAAAAAAAAAAAAAAAAA